GUGGGGAAUCUUGCGCAAUGGGCGAAAGCCUGACGCAGCCAUGCCGCGUGAAUGAUGAAGGUCUUAGGAUUGUAAAAUUCUUUCACCGGGGACGAUAAUGACGGUACCCUGAGAAUAAGGAUCGGCUAACUCCGUGCCAGCAGCCGCGGUAAUACGGAGGGUGCGAGCGUUGUCCGGAUUUAUUGGGUUUAAAGGGUGCGUAGGCUGGAAGGACAGUCAGCGGUGAAAAGCAGUUGCUCAACAAUUGUCUUGCCGCAGAUACUACCUUUCUUGGAUUGGGAGGAGGUUACCGGAACGGAUGGUGUAGCGGUGAAAUGCAUAGAUAUCAUCCAGAACGCCAAUUGCGAAGGCAGGUAACUGUACCUAUAUCGACGCUGAUGCACGAAAGCAUGGGUAGCGAACAGGAUUAGAAACCCCGGUAGUCC
Molecule: ribosomal RNA, 425 nt
Filed under: uncultured bacterium
Lineage: Bacteria
Description: partial 16S ribosomal RNA
Rfam family: Bacterial small subunit ribosomal RNA
Source: RNAcentral